This 253-nucleotide ribosomal RNA is filed under the name uncultured bacterium. RNAcentral describes it as "partial 16S ribosomal RNA". It matches the Rfam family "Bacterial small subunit ribosomal RNA", at positions 524 to 776 of the family's 1533-position model. The record is from RNAcentral.
UACGGGGGGGGCAAGCGUUGUUCGGAAUUACUGGGCGUAAAGGGCCAGUAGGCGGCCAACUAAGUCCGACGUGAAAUCCCAAGGCUUAACCUUGGAACUGCGUCGGAUACUGGAUGGCUUGAAUUCGGGAGAGGGAUGCAGAAUUCCAGGUGUAGCGGUGAAAUGCGUAGAUAUCUGGAGGAAUACCGGUGGCGAAGGCGGCAUCCUGGACCGACAUUGACGCUGAGGAGCGAAAGCGUGGGGAGCAAACAGG